RNAcentral lists this ribosomal RNA (465 nucleotides) under uncultured bacterium. RNAcentral describes it as "partial 16S ribosomal RNA". It matches the Rfam family "Bacterial small subunit ribosomal RNA", at positions 338 to 795 of the family's 1533-position model. The record is from RNAcentral.
CCUACGGGAGACAGCAGUAGGGAAUCUUCCACAAUGGGCUAAAGCCUGAUGGAGCAACGCCGCGUGGGUGAAGAAGGUCUUCGGAUCGUAAAACCCUGUUGUUAGAGAAGAAAGUGCGUGAGAGUAACUGUUCACGUUUCGACGGUAUCUAACCAGAAAGCCACGGCUAACUACGUGCCAGCAGCCGCGGUAAUACGGAGGUGGCAAGCGUUGUCCGGAUUUAUUGGGCGUAAAGGGAACGCAGGCGGUCUUUUCAGUCUGAUGUGAAAGGCGUCGGCUUAACCGGAGUAGUGCAUUGGAAACUGGGAGACUUGAGUGCAGAAGAGGAGAGCGGAACGCCAUGUGUAGCGGUGAAAUGCGUAGAUAUAUGGAAGAACACCAGUGGCGAAAGCGGCUCUCUGGUCUGUAACUGACGCUGAGGUUCGAAAGCGUGGGUAGCAAACAGGAUUAGAUACCCGAGUAGUC